This 450-nucleotide ribosomal RNA is filed under the name uncultured bacterium. Its description in RNAcentral is "partial 16S ribosomal RNA". It matches the Rfam family "Bacterial small subunit ribosomal RNA", at positions 354 to 796 of the family's 1533-position model. The record is from RNAcentral.
GUGGGGAAUAUUGGACAAUGGGCGAAAGCCUGAUCCAGCCAUGCCGCGUGUGUGAAGAAGGUCUUCGGAUUGUAAAGCACUUUAAGUUGGGAGGAAGGGCAGUAAGUUAAUACCUUGCUGUUUUGACGUUACCAACAGAAUAAGCACCGGCUAACUUCGUGCCAGCAGCAGCGGUAAUACGAAGGGUGCAAGCGUUAAUCGGAAUUACUGGGCGUAAAGCGCGCGUAGGUGGUUCAGCAAGUUGGAGGUGAAAUCCCCGGGCGCAACCUGGGAACUGCCUCCAAAACUACUGAGCUAGAGUACGGUAGAGGGUAGUGGAAUUGCCUGUGUAGCGGUGAAAUGCGUAGAUAUAGGAAGGAACACCAGUGGCGAAGGCGACUACCUGGACUGAUACUGACACUGAGGUGCGAAAGCGUGGGGAGCAAACAGGAUUAGAUACCCGGGUAGUCC